RNAcentral lists this ribosomal RNA (161 nucleotides) under Amanita sp. 'AUS10'. RNAcentral's name for it is "Amanita sp. 'sp-AUS10' 5.8S ribosomal RNA". It matches the Rfam family "5.8S ribosomal RNA". Rfam says of the family: 5.8S ribosomal RNA (5.8S rRNA) is a component of the large subunit of the eukaryotic ribosome. The record is from RNAcentral. Lineage: Eukaryota; Fungi; Basidiomycota; Agaricomycetes; Agaricales; Amanitaceae.
ACAACUUUCAACAAUGGAUCUCUUGGCUCUCGCAUCGAUGAAGAACGCAGCGAAAUGUGAUAAGUAAUGUGAAUUGCAGAAUCCAGUGAAUCAUCGAAUCUUUGAACGCAUCUUGCGCUCCUUGGCAUUCCGAGGAGCAUGCCUGUUUGAGUGUCAUUUGA